Molecule: long non-coding RNA, 5082 nt
Organism: Numida meleagris (helmeted guineafowl)
Lineage: Eukaryota; Metazoa; Chordata; Aves; Galliformes; Numididae
Exons: 13
Source: RefSeq, a predicted model, not a curated record
CGUUAUUCUGAGUUUAUUAAAUCAAUAAUUAAUGUAUUGAAUGAUGCUGAACAUAGCUAACAGCCAUGUUAUUUCAAAUAAGAAAAUGAAAUCAGAUUAAAUUUUAAUUUAACAAACCUUUGAUUCGUUUUUUCUGCUUCUGAGUAAUGAUGAAACAGGUACAUUUAUUUCAGUUUCAUGUUUGAGUAUUGAUUUUUAUUUUGCCAGGAGAGGUAGACUUUUAUUGGCUAUUUUCUGAAAUAAAACAGCUGUAAUCAAAGAGACACGCUGGUGAGCUGGCUGCAUGGCUGAUGUGAGCUCUGCUUAUGCUGUGGUCUGGAAGAUUUGAUUUUAACUCUUGAUGCUGCAAGUUAGCUCCCUUUUUUGCUCAUAGAGAUCAUAGUGUGGUGACUUUUGUUUUAUGAAAGCCAAAGGGCUGUAAGGUUACACUGAAGGGAAUGAGGAAUACGUACUGUGGGAGCUGUCUGCUGCAGGUGCCAAUGUUAAUUAAGAAGCCCAGUUGUGCAUGCCUCUAAUUCACUGCGUGAUCGAUCAGUUGUAUCUGUGUUUGUGAGUCAGAUUAACAGGACUACACCAAUGUUCUUUCUAGUUACCCAUCAAUGUUUUAGUCCUGCUGGUGAGUGUCACAGAAAUAUUCUCUCUUAUUCUGGUUUGUGCUGCAGAGUACAGAGACAAACAAACUGAUGACUGAGGAAGGCUGUACUUUACAAUGGUAUUUCAGCUGAAAAAACUUCUUAUCUGUACAAGGCUGCAGAAGAGAAUAGCUUCUGGAAACAAAGUCCUUGAGUGAAACUCUCUUCAAAUAUGCAAAAAGUCUCCUGUGUUAGUGUGUGGGAGUGGGAUGGACGGCACCGUGUUCAGCUUGUGGAGCUGGCAGACAACAUGAAAUCACAUGGGCAGCACACUCAGAACAACUAAAAGUACCAGCAGGUAAUUAAUUCUCUCAGGUGUUCUUUUUUGGUUACCACCCAAAAAAUCUCUUAUUAAAGGAGGGCAAUACUAGAGAUCCAAUGACAAACAGUAUUGCCCUUUUUAGUUUGGCAGCCUGUAGAGAUACCUUGAGUAAUGUUCCUUGUGUUUUCCCACGUUGCAGCUCUUGGUGACAAAAAUGUGAAAACUUUGCACUCACUGCCAACACAGGGAGAUGUGAAGAGACAGACUUGCUCUGCAAAGAUGGUUUAGGUCAGCUAUACUGACAGGUUUCUUGGCAUUUUGAUUUAGCUGUUGUGUUCUCUGAGAAAAAAAUGUCCAGAAUCCUUCAUCUUUCAGCAAUAGGAAUAAAAAUCUUAUUGCAGCAGUUGUGGCUUAGCAGCUAUACACUCAGUAAGAGCCUUCCCUUCUUGCCUCCAGAUUCCAGGAACAGGGAUUUGGGCUGUUAAAAUUCUGUGUGUUGUGGUCUUUGCUUGAUGUUGCAUUCUGAGUCCAGCAGAGGUGGGGGCUAUGCGACAGGUUUGUCCCAGGUAGGGAGCAAAGCUCCAAGAAAUACUACUUGCAAGAAAUCUCAAGAUUGCUUCAGUGCUGGAUGUCACAGAGAGGCAUUGUUUGAAGUUAUUGGUACAGGGGAGUAAGUGAGAUUAAAAAGUGAAGAGCUGAGAUGCAAACAGUGGAUGAAGCAGACGGAAGUAUGAAGCUUUGAUCACCAAUCAAAGUAUCAAACUGCAACAGAAGCAGACUGGCACUUCAAGGGGAACAAGGUGAAAUCAGAGUUUCUCAUUGCUAUGUUUCAGACAGAAUCACAGUAGAAAGCAAUCAAAUCAGCAGUAGCUUUGAGACCCAUGACUCUGCUAUAGGGGAAGAUAUCAAGAAAGGAUCACCAUGUAUUUGAGAUUUGUAUCAGCCAUGUCCAGCUCUAAGCUAUGCAGUUCUGCAGAAGUACAGCAAGAACUACACCUAAACAGACUGCAGGUCCUCUGCCUCUCCGUCCUACAGCAUCUCUGAUUGCCAGCCAGUAGUGUAUGCGGGAUCCUCAAAGUACAGAGAGAGCAAGGGAGGCCUUCCCGGGAGACUGGAGCUUGACGGUUGCUGCGGAAGGUGAGGGACUGCAGGAAUAUUGUUGUUCAGACGAAGUAUAUGCUGUGUUUUCAACAGUUUCUGCCAGACUUGGAGGUACAGUGAUUAACUAAACAGAGAGUUUGUCUCUCUUCUGUUAUAUUACCACGUGUGAAGUUCACUCAUUGGGAUUUCAUAGGACAAUGGCACAUACGUGUACCUGAAACAGAGUGAAUGACAUGGUGAUAAUUGGUAUAAAACUAUGUUGACCGGUCCUGAUUAAGCAUAUUUGCUCCAGAGGGCUCAUGCUAAAUCAGCUGAUGUCACGGGAAUGAACAGCAAUUUUACCACAAUGCUUGUGCAAAUUUCAGGGACGUUAAUAAUUAUUUAUCACCUCCCACCUACCCCCUGGUGUGAGCAUUUUCAAGUGAAGUAAUAAGAUGGCAAUUAAAAUUCAGGAUGCAAUAAAGCUAGAAUAGAGGUGUGUCCUAUUGCCUUACAGUUACAGGGAUUCAAGUUCUUUUGUCAAGUCACGGCACUUAAAACUCCUCCCCUUUCAUUUUGUUAAAAGCUGUUAAAGACAACAGCACGUUUCACCUGUGUCUCUCCUACAGAGUAGAAAGAGCACUGAUGCAUAAAUGAAAGCAAUCUAUUUUAAGUAAUGUUUAAAGCUCCAGUAAAUGUGAAAUUUUCAGGCCAGGGCCUGUGAAGAGCCAAGAGCCUAUUAUUAUGCCAUUUCUCAACUUCUUAAUGAAGAAACAGUUACUUGUUUUGUUACAUGCACAGGUAAAUAAUACACGCACACAUUCUCUGCCAACUAGAUCAAGAUGAAUGAGGUAAGAUCUAAUCCUGAAUGAAGCUGCACAUUCUUGUAAUUCUGAUGUGAAUAUCAUUAGGCCUUGCUAAUGUUUCUUUUAUGCUUGCUCUGCAGAUGUUUGUGUAAAUUUGGUAGCACAAUAUCAAAUUUAAUAAAAAAUAAUCUUUAAAAAGGCCCAGUAUUUUAAUAGAUGUGUGUCUGGGCAAAUGAGUUUUUUAAUAUAUGAAUAUAAUCAGUGGGUAUAGUUAAAAGUUGGUGUAAUGAUGUCCCUUGAUAAUUGCUAUUUCUCUCUCCAAGAACAACAGAUCAUACUCAGAACAUUUACAAUCAAUUAUUUGCACAAUUAUUUGAAUGCUUUAGCUAAAACAAGUCAAUGAAUUUGCUGCCUUCUUACAGAGAUAAUCAUAACCAACUGAAAAAGUUUGUUAAUUCAUUCAGCUCUAAUGUAAACAUGCUUUAACAAUAAAAGCAUUUCUAAUGAUUUCAAUGGAAAUUUUGAUGUUGACACUGUCAGACUGAAACAGUAAGCGGUGGUCUGGCUAGGUUACAUCUUAAAAUCUGACUUUUUUUGAAAUGCUAUAUAUAUAGGUAUAUGAAUAUGAAAUAUUUUCAUAUUUAAUAAUAGCACUCAUCGCAUCAGAUACCUUUUAUUAUAGUUCUAGAAUUUCUGUGGAGGUUAUGGGCUUAAGGUUUAAUCCAUGGCCAUUAAGUAUAAUAUUCUUUGACUUGUAUUUGCUUGGAAAAACUAAUAUUUAGAAAAUAAAAUACAUAAGGAGAAGUAAGGUGUUUCCCGAGGCUCUUUUUCAUAUUGCAGAGAGAUGAUGAUAAGACAUCCUUAGAUACAUUAUGUCUCUUUUGUAUGAAGUGUCUUUUUACUGUGAUAGAAGUAGCACUGGAUUAGACAUGUUAUGUGGGGUUUACAAAACAAAUGUAUUUAAAAAUCAGCUUUAAUUCAAAGUUAGUUUCAGUAUCUACAAACAGUGUGCCAUUUAAGUCACUUUUUUUCCUUUCUUGUUUUGUGCCUGUGCUUUCAGAAACUGUCCUUUCAAAAAAAAAAAAAGAAAAAAAAAAGAAAAAAGAAAAAGAAGAGUAAAAACAUUCUGCUAUGGCCAAAUUCUGCACUCACUUGUGUUAGCUGAACCACUGAGAUCAGGGCAGGUCUCCAAAUUGCCUGAUGGGCUUUAGAUUGAUUUCUGUACCACGGGUACAUUUGCUCAUUUACAACCAUUCUCAGCAUUUUCAAAAGAGAAUGCCUAAAAGUGCAUAAACAUGACAGUGUCCAGAUGUAUGGGGCACACAGUUCAGCUCACAAAAUGUGUGUGGAAUUUUCCCAUGAUGGAGUGACUGUUGUGAACUAGGCUCUUUGGCAAAUAAUUUCCCGCUGAGGAACCAGAUGGACAGGCACCCAAGCAGAAUACAUCCUUGUUUAAAUCAAUAUGAACUGGAGCUUCUUGGUAAUUCAGUUAAUGAGAUGCAACUUCGAUUUUAUCUUGUAUUUUCAUCUUGGAAAGAAUUUUAGCAUUAAAUGUGCAUAAAUAAUGAUAUUUGUUCCCCAAAGAUGGUUGUUGUCAGGACAGACUGAAAAAGCAAUACAAAGUCAAUUAAAAACUUCUCUAAAGAAAUGACUUUGGAUGGACAACAUAACUUAUGCGUGCAGCUCAGGAUGAAGGCAUAAAGAAACGAGAAGGUCAUUUCUGAUGAAAACUGUCUAUUCUAUUGAUGCCAACAUUAAUACUCACUUGUGUAGCUGUGGAAAGUCAAGAACUCUUGUGAAGAAUCAUGCUGCAUCAUCAUGGCAAAUGGAGAAAAAAAUUACAAAUAUCUUCACCUGUGGUUAAAGAUCUCAGCCUCCUCCUUUCUCCACCAUGACCACCCAGCUGACCGUCCCAGUGCUCCAUGAAGAAACUCCAUUGAGACAUCCUCAUUUUCAUCCAGCCACUGAAUGACAAAUGGUUCAAACCACCUGAAAAAUAAAAACAAUCUUUUAAAGUACAUUCUUUAAAGAUUUGUCACUGUGACUUCAUGUCUGUUCUAGCUGCCAUAAGAUACUGUGGCUACCAAAACGCAUUUCAGCUUAACCCUGCUAUUCUAUCUGGUUUUCCCAAGUGAUGUAGUUUGCAGUGGCCAUCAGAGAAAUGCACUCAUGUUUUGCAGAGGAUCAUAUUCAUAUUUAUUUUGCAAAGCGUCUUUUCCAGUAUUGCUUCUUUUUUAACAUUUAUUUGCAUGUGAAAGAAUGUGGAGAAAGCUUUUUUUUAAAUAAAAUGUCAGAUGUUUAA